Molecule: unclassified non-coding RNA, 322 nt
Filed under: fungal sp.
Lineage: Eukaryota; Fungi
Description: partial internal transcribed spacer region
Rfam family: Eukaryotic small subunit ribosomal RNA (bases 1-46)
Source: RNAcentral
AAGUCGUAACAAGGUCUCCGUAGGUGAACCUGCGGAGGGAUCAUUAACAAAUGAUUUGGUUUUAAACCAAAACACAUUGUGCAAUUAUAUCUGUCUCUGGUGGUCGGUUCCAAGUUUUUCUGUCUGUUUGCAAACUUCAAUAAACCUCCUGUGAACCGCAAGGGGAGCAGGGUUCUAUGAUCUCCUGGUUUAAAGAAGGAUGUACGCUGCGGAAAAUCACGAUCACCGAAUGAACAAACGUUUUGAUUAUUUUUUUAUGUCUGAAUCAUUCACUAUUUGUGCAAUGAAAAAACAACUUUUGACAACGGAUCUCUUGGCUCUC